AAUAGAUACCCGGGUAGUCCACGCCGUAAACGAUGAGUGCUAGGUGUUAGGGGGUUUCCGCCCCUUAGUGCUGCAGCUAACGCAUUAAGCACUCCGCCUGGGGAGUACGGUCGCAAGACUGAAACUCAAAGGAAUUGACGGAGGCCCGCACAAGCGGUGGAGCAUGUGGUUUAAUUCGAAGCAACGCGAAGAACCUUACCAGGUCUUGACAUCCCGCUGACCGCCAUGGAGACCAUGGCCUUCCCUUCGGGGACAGCGGUGACAGGUGGUGCAUGGUUGUCGUCAGCUCGUGUCGUGAGAUGUUGGGUUAAGUCCCGCAACGAGCGCAACCCUUGUCCUUAGUUGCCAUCAUUCAGGUUGGGCACUCUAAGGAGACUGCCGUACAAAUACGGAGGAAGGUGGGGAUGACGUCAAAUCAUCAUGCCCCCUUAUGACCUGGGCUACACACGUGCUACAAUGGGUGGUACAAAGGGCGGCAAACCCGCGAGGGGGAGCGAAUCCCAAAAAGCCACUCUCAGUUCGGAUUGCAGGCUGCAACC
This 539-nucleotide ribosomal RNA is filed under the name uncultured bacterium. RNAcentral's name for it is "bacterial SSU rRNA". It matches the Rfam family "Bacterial small subunit ribosomal RNA", at positions 777 to 1312 of the family's 1533-position model. The record is from RNAcentral.